ACGAACGCUGGCGGCGUGCUUAACACAUGCAAGUCGAACGGUGAUGCCCAGCUUGCUGGGCGGAUCAGUGGCGAACGGGUGAGUAACACGUGAGUAACCUGCCCCAGACUCCGGGAUAAGCCUUGGAAACGAGGUCUAAUACUGGAUACGAGAUGCCCCUGCAUGGGGAGUGUCUGGAAAGAUUUAUCGGUCUGGGAUGGACUCGCGGCCUAUCAGCUUGUUGGUGGGGUAAUGGCCUACCAAGGCGACGACGGGUAGCCGGCCUGAGAGGGCGACCGGCCACACUGGGACUGAGACACGGCCCAGACUCCUACGGGAGGCAGCAGUGGGGAAUAUUGCACAAUGGGCGAAAGCCUGAUGCAGCGACGCCGCGUGAGGGAUGAAGGCCUUCGGGUUGUAAACCUCUUUCAGCAGGGAAGAAGCGCAAGUGACGGUACCUGCAGAAGAAGCGCCGGCUAACUACGU
This 465-nucleotide ribosomal RNA is filed under the name uncultured bacterium. RNAcentral's name for it is "bacterial SSU rRNA". It matches the Rfam family "Bacterial small subunit ribosomal RNA", at positions 29 to 506 of the family's 1533-position model. The record is from RNAcentral.